CCAGGGCCUUGUGGAGCACCUGUCGCUCGUGCUCCCGCUUCUCAGCUAGCUGCUUCAGCACCAGGGCCUCCUGAGACUGCAGAGAGAGACGAGGGAGAGAGAUGCUUCCAGCCUCUUCUGGAGCUCGUCCGGGGAGAGGUCCUUCUUGGGAGCAGAAAGCAGGGGCUGGGGCCUGUCCGGAGAGAGGUCAGCAGGGGCCUUCAGGAUGAUCUCGAAGGCCUGGCCGGAUGCCCGCUUGUUCAGGGACUUCACCUCCAUGUCUGUGGAGAACAGCAGGUGGGUUAGGUUCCCUCCACUCUAAAUGGAAAUGGAUGAAGCUUGCCAGAAAAAAACGUUCAGCCAAAUUACUAGGGAGGCCGUCAGUCAACUUACUAAGGAGGCCGUGCAGACAAGUUACUAAGGAGGCCGUUCAGUCAACUUACUAAGGAGGCCGUUCAGUCAACUUACUAAGGAGGCCGUGCAGACAAGUUACUAAGGAGGCCGUUCAGUCAACUUACUAAGGAGGCCUUUCAGUCAAGUUACUGGGAGCACUGCCACAAAAACAGCCCAAGCUGCCAGUAGCAUCUCCACUGAACCCUGUGCCUCGUGUAAAUAAUAUAUAAUUAUAACAAGUGUUUAUUCACAACCGCAGAGAAUUAUAUUUUGUUUCACCUCUUGACACCUCUUGCACACACACACACACACAAUAUCAUACGCACUAUAUACACACACACACACACACACAAUAUCAUACACACUAUACACACUAUACACACACACACACACACACACACACACACACA
Molecule: non-coding RNA, 782 nt
Organism: Oncorhynchus mykiss (rainbow trout)
Lineage: Eukaryota; Metazoa; Chordata; Actinopteri; Salmoniformes; Salmonidae
Source: RefSeq, a predicted model, not a curated record